Trichonephila clavipes is the source of this 78-nucleotide non-coding RNA. The record is from the annotation of a GenBank genome assembly. Lineage: Eukaryota; Metazoa; Arthropoda; Arachnida; Araneae; Nephilidae.
GAGAGUAUAGCUCAGUGGUAGAGCAUUCGACUGCUUAUCGAGAGGUGCGCGGUUCAAAGCCGGGUGUCCCGUUCUUCA